CCGAGAUUGCAGCUUCCGUGCUCGAACU
This 28-nucleotide small RNA is filed under the name Bombyx mori (domestic silkworm). RNAcentral describes it as "ovarian small RNA-13802". Lineage: Eukaryota; Metazoa; Arthropoda; Insecta; Lepidoptera; Bombycidae. The record is from RNAcentral.